CAUUAAAUGCCUGAAAAAAGGGUUGAUUUUUUAAAUCAAAUAAUAAUAUUAAUCAUAUUUUUAAUGA
RNAcentral lists this transfer RNA (67 nucleotides) under Thyreus decorus. RNAcentral's name for it is "tRNA-Lys". The record is from RNAcentral. Lineage: Eukaryota; Metazoa; Arthropoda; Insecta; Hymenoptera; Apidae.